RNAcentral lists this ribosomal RNA (460 nucleotides) under uncultured bacterium. RNAcentral describes it as "partial 16S ribosomal RNA". It matches the Rfam family "Bacterial small subunit ribosomal RNA", at positions 338 to 795 of the family's 1533-position model. The record is from RNAcentral.
CCUACGGGAGGCAGCAGUGAGGAAUAUUGGUCAAUGGACGAGAGUCUGAACCAGCCAAGUAGCGUGAAGGUUGACUGCCCUAUGGGUUGUAAACUUCUUUUAUAUGGGAAUAAAAUGUUACACGUGUGGGAUUUUGUAUGUACCAUAUGAAUAAGGAUCGGCUAACUCCGUGCCAGCAGCCGCGGUAAUACGGAGGCUCCGAGCGUUAUCCGGAUUUAUUGGGUUUAAAGGGAGCGUAGGUGGAUUGUUAAGUAAGUUGUGAAAGUUUGGGGCUCAACCGUAAAAUUGCAGUUGAAACUGGCAGUCUUGAGUACAGUAGAGGUGGGCGGAAUUCGUGGUGUAGCGGUGAAAUGCGUAGAUAUCACGAAGAACUCCGAUUGCGAAGGCAGUUCACUGGACUGCAACUGACACUGAGGCUCGAAAGUGUGGGUAUCAAACAGGAUUAGAUACCCUUGUAGUC